UGGGGAAUUUUGGACAAUGGGCGAAAGCCUGAUCCAGCAAUGCCGCGUGCAGGAAGAAGGCCUUCGGGUUGUAAACUGCUUUUGUACGGAACGAAACGGUCUUUUUUAAUACAAGGGGCUAAUGACGGUACCGUAAGAAUAAGCACCGGCUAACUACGUGCCAGCAGCCGCGGUAAUACGUAGGGUGCGAGCGUUAAUCGGAAUUACUGGGCGUAAAGCGUGCGCAGGCGGUUAUAUAAGACAGAUGUGAAAUCCCCGGGCUCAACCUGGGAACUGCAUUUGUGACUGUAUAGCUAGAGUACGGCAGAGGGGGAUGGAAUUCCGCGUGUAGCAGUGAAAUGCGUAGGUAUGCGGAGGAACACCGAUGGCGAAGGCAAUCCCCUGGGCCUGCACUGACGCUCAUGCACGAAAGCGUGGGGAGCAAACA
This 427-nucleotide ribosomal RNA is filed under the name uncultured bacterium. RNAcentral describes it as "bacterial SSU rRNA". It matches the Rfam family "Bacterial small subunit ribosomal RNA", at positions 355 to 774 of the family's 1533-position model. The record is from RNAcentral.